Small nucleolar RNA from Musca domestica (house fly), 105 nucleotides. RefSeq annotates it as small nucleolar RNA psi18S-841/snoR66. Lineage: Eukaryota; Metazoa; Arthropoda; Insecta; Diptera; Muscidae. The transcript has a single exon. The record is from RefSeq and is a predicted model, not a curated record.
UGCAAGGGCACUCUGUGUCACAUUGAUAUUCACAAGUGGAACAAUUUGUAACCUUGCUAUAAUAAUUACAUAUUUUGAGACUGUAAACUCUAUAUCUUACUUUAA